GAUGAAGAACGUAGCGAAAUGCGAUACUUGGUGUGAAUUGCAGAAUCCCGUGAACCAUCGAGUCUUUGAACGCAAGUUGCGCCCGAAGCCACUAGGCCGAGGGCACGCCUGCCUGGGCGUCACACGCCGUUGCCCCCCCAUCUACUCCUUCGGGAUUGCGGGGGGGCGGAUGAUGGCCUCCCGUGCGCCUAGCCGCGCGGUUGGUAUAAAUACCAAGUCCUCGGCGACGCACGCCACGACAAUCGGUGGUUGCGAAACCUCGGUUGCCCGUCGUGUGCGUUCGUCGCGCAUCGAGGGCUCGAAAAAAUGCUCGGCUCCGGCUGGGCUUUCAACGCGACCCCAGGUCAGGCGGGGUUACCCGCUGAAUUUAAGCAUAUCAAUAAGCGGAGGA
RNAcentral lists this unclassified non-coding RNA (391 nucleotides) under soil metagenome. Its description in RNAcentral is "partial contains 5.8S ribosomal RNA, internal transcribed spacer 2, and large subunit ribosomal RNA". The stretch from base 1 to 122 matches the Rfam family "5.8S ribosomal RNA", at positions 35 to 154 of the family's 154-position model. The record is from RNAcentral.